CCUACGGGUGGCAGCAGUGGGGAAUAUUGCACAAUGGGGGAAACCCUGAUGCAGCGACGCCGCGUGAGUGAAGAAGUAAUUCGUUACGUAAAGCUCUAUCAGCAGGGAAGAAACACUUAACUUACGGUCCGCAGACGGUACCUGAGUCAGAAGCCCCGGCUAACUACGUGCCAGCUGCCGCGGUAAUCCGUAGGGGGAAAGCGUUAUGCGGAUUUACUGGGUGUAAAGGGAGCGAAGGCGGUGCGCCAAGUCUGGAGUGAAAUGCCGCAGCUUAACUGCGGAACUGCUUGGGAUACUGGCGAACUAGAGUGCGGUAGUGGGAAGUGGAAUUCCUGGUGUAGCGGUGAAAUGCGUAGAUAUUAGGAGGAAUACCGGUGGCGAAGGCGGCCUACUGGACCGUAACUGACGUUGAGGCUCGAAAGCGUGGGGAGCAAACAGGAUUAGAUACCCUUGUAGUC
Molecule: ribosomal RNA, 458 nt
Filed under: uncultured bacterium
Lineage: Bacteria
Description: partial 16S ribosomal RNA
Rfam family: Bacterial small subunit ribosomal RNA
Source: RNAcentral